CCGGCGAUGUCCGAAUGGGGAAACCCAGUGCAAUUCGUUGCACUAUCGUUAACUGAAUACAUAGGUUAACGAGGCGAACCGGGGGAACUGAAACAUCUAAGUACCCCGAGGAAAAGAAAUCAACCGAGAUUCCCCCAGUAGCGGCGAGCGAACGGGGAGCAGCCCAGAGUCUGAAUCAGCUUGUGUGUUAGUGGAACGGUCUGGAAAGUCCGACGGUACAGGGUGAUAGUCCCGUACACCAAAAUGCACAGGUUGUGAACUCGAAGAGUAGGGCGGGACACGUGGUAUCCUGUCUGAAUAUGGGGGGACCAUCCUCCAAGGCUAAAUACUCCUGACUGACCGAUAGUGAACCAGUACCGUGAGGGAAAGGCGAAAAGAACCCCGGCGAGGGGAGUGAAAAAGAACCUGAAACCGUGUACGUACAAGCAGUGGGAGCACCUUCGGGUGUGACUGCGUACCUUUUGUAUAAUGGGUCAGCGACUUAUAUUCUGUAGCAAGGUUAACCGUAUAGGGGAGCCGCAGGGAAACCGAGUCUUAACUGGGCGUUAAGUUGCAGGGUAUAGACCCGAAACCCGGUGAUCUAGCCAUGGGCAGGUUGAAGGUUGGGUAACACUAACUGGAGGACCGAACCGACUAAUGUUGAAAAAUUAGCGGAUGACUUGUGGCUGGGGGUGAAAGGCCAAUCAAACCGGGAGAUAGCUGGUUCUCCCCGAAAGCUAUUUAGGUAGCGCCUCGUGAACUCAUCUUCGGGGGUAGAGCACUGUUUCGGCUAGGGGGUCAUCCCGACUUACCAACCCGAUGCAAACUACGAAUACCGAAGAAUGUUAUCACGGGAGACACACGGCGGGUGCUAACGUCCGUCGUGAAGAGGGAAACAACCCAGACCGCCAGCUAAGGUCCCAAAGUCAUGGUUAAGUGGGAAACGAUGUGGGAAGGCACAGACAGCCAGGAUGUUGGCUUAGAAGCAGCCAUCAUUUAAAGAAAGCGUAAUAGCUCACUGGUCGAGUCGGCCUGCGCGGAAGAUGUAACGGGGCUAAACCAUGCACCGAAGCUGCGGCAGCGACACUAUGUGUUGUUGGGUAGGGGAGCGUUCUGUAAGCCUGCGAAGGUGUGCUGUGAGGCAUGCUGGAGGUAUCAGAAGUGCGAAUGCUGACAUAAGUAACGAUAAAGCGGGUGAAAAGCCCGCUCGCCGGAAGACCAAGGGUUCCUGUCCAACGUUAAUCGGGGCAGGGUGAGUCGACCCCUAAGGCGAGGCCGAAAGGCGUAGUCGAUGGGAAACAGGUUAAUAUUCCUGUACUUGGUGUUACUGCGAAGGGGGGACGGAGAAGGCUAUGUUAGCCGGGCGACGGUUGUCCCGGUUUAAGCAUGUAGGCUGGUUAUCCAGGCAAAUCCGGAUAAUCAAGGCUGAGGUGUGAUGACGAGGCACUACGGUGCUGAAGUAACAAAUGCCCUGCUUCCAGGAAAAGCCUCUAAGCAUCAGGUAACAUCAAAUCGUACCCCAAACCGACACAGGUGGUCAGGUAGAGAAUACCAAGGCGCUUGAGAGAACUCGGGUGAAGGAACUAGGCAAAAUGGUGCCGUAACUUCGGGAGAAGGCACGCUGGUGUGUAGGUGAAGUCCCUGCGGAUGGAGCUGAGACCAGUCGAAGAUACCAGCUGGCUGCAACUGUUUAUUAAAAACACAGCACUGUGCAAACACGAAAGUGGACGUAUACGGUGUGACGCCUGCCCGGUGCCGGAAGGUUAAUUGAUGGGGUUAUCCGUAAGGAGAAGCUCUUGAUCGAAGCCCCGGUAAACGGCGGCCGUAACUAUAACGGUCCUAAGGUAGCGAAAUUCCUUGUCGGGUAAGUUCCGACCUGCACGAAUGGCGUAAUGAUGGCCAGGCUGUCUCCACCCGAGACUCAGUGAAAUUGAACUCGCUGUGAAGAUGCAGUGUACCCGCGGCAAGACGGAAAGACCCCGUGAACCUUUACUAUAGCUUGACACUGAACAUUGAGCCUUGAUGUGUAGGAUAGGUGGGAGGCUUUGAAGCGUGGACGCCAGUCUGCGUGGAGCCAACCUUGAAAUACCACCCUUUAAUGUUUGAUGUUCUAACGUUGGCCCCUGACCGGGGUUGCGGACAGUGUCUGGUGGGUAGUUUGACUGGGGCGGUCUCCUCCCAAAGCGUAACGGAGGAGCACGAAGGUUAGCUAAUCCUGGUCGGACAUCAGGAGGUUAGUGCAAUGGCAUAAGCUAGCUUGACUGCGAGCGUGACGGCGCGAGCAGGUGCGAAAGCAGGUCAUAGUGAUCCGGUGGUUCUGAAUGGAAGGGCCAUCGCUCAACGGAUAAAAGGUACUCCGGGGAUAACAGGCUGAUACCGCCCAAGAGUUCAUAUCGACGGCGGUGUUUGGCACCUCGAUGUCGGCUCAUCACAUCCUGGGGCUGAAGUAGGUCCCAAGGGUAUGGCUGUUCGCCAUUUAAAGUGGUACGCGAGCUGGGUUUAGAACGUCGUGAGACAGUUCGGUCCCUAUCUGCCGUGGGCGCUGGAGAAUUGAGGGGGGCUGCUCCUAGUACGAGAGGACCGGAGUGGACGCAUCACUGGUGUUCGGGUUGUCAUGCCAAUGGCACUGCCCGGUAGCUAAAUGCGGAAGAGAUAAGUGCUGAAAGCAUCUAAGCACGAAACUUGCCCCGAGAUGAGUUCUCCCUGAGACUAUAAGUCUCCUGAAGGAACGUUAAAGACGAUGACGUUGAUAGGCCGGGUGUGUAAGCGCAGCGAUGCGUUGAGCUAACCGGUACUAAUGAACCGUGAGGCUUAACCUU
This 2798-nucleotide ribosomal RNA is filed under the name Klebsiella pneumoniae. RNAcentral describes it as "bacterial LSU rRNA". It matches the Rfam family "Bacterial large subunit ribosomal RNA". Lineage: Bacteria; Pseudomonadati; Pseudomonadota; Gammaproteobacteria; Enterobacterales; Enterobacteriaceae. The record is from RNAcentral.